GACGAACGCUGGCGGCGUGCCUAAUACAUGCAAGUCGAGCGAACUGAUUAGAAGCUUGCUUCUAUGACGUUGGCGGCGGACGGGUGAGUAACACGUGGGCAACCUGCCUGCAAGACUGGGAUAACUCCGGGAAACCGGAGCUAAUACCGGAUAACAUUUUUUCUUGCAUAAGAGAAAAUUGAAAGAUGGUUUCGGCUAUCACUUACAGAUGGGCCCGCGGUGCAUUAGCUAGUUGGUGAGGUAACGGCUCACCAAGGCAACGAUGCAUAGCCGAACGGAGAGGGGGAUCGGCCACACUGGGACUGCGACACGGCCCAGACUCCUACGGGAGGCAGCAGUAGGGAAUCUUCCGCAAUGGACGAAAGUCUGACGGAGCAACGCCGCGUGAGUGAUGAAGGCUUUCGGGUCGUAAAACUCUGUUGUUAGGGAAGAACAAGUACAAGAGUAACUGCUUGUACCUUGACGGUACCUAACCAGAAAGCCACGGCUAACUACGUGCCAGCCGCCGCGGUAA
RNAcentral lists this ribosomal RNA (514 nucleotides) under uncultured bacterium. RNAcentral's name for it is "partial 16S ribosomal RNA". It matches the Rfam family "Bacterial small subunit ribosomal RNA", at positions 28 to 523 of the family's 1533-position model. The record is from RNAcentral.